GAGUUUGAUCCUGGCUCAGGACGAACGCUGGCGGCGUGCUUAACACAUGCAAGUCGAACGGAAAGGCCCCUUCGGGGGUGCUCGAGUGGCGAACGGGUGAGUAACACGUGGGUGAUCUGCCCUGCACUUUGGGAUAAGCCUGGGAAACUGGGUCUAAUACCGGAUAGGACCACGGUCUGCAUGGGCUGUGGUGGAAAGCGUUUGCGGUGUGGGAUGGGCCCGCGGCCUAUCAGCUUGUUGGUGGGGUGAUGGCCUACCAAGGCGACGACGGGUAGCCGGCCUGAGAGGGUGUCCGGCCACACUGGGACUGAGAUACGGCCCAGACUCCUACGGGAGGCAGCAGUGGGGAAUAUUGCACAAUGGGCGCAAGCCUGAUGCAGCGACGCCGCGUGGGGGAUGACGGCCUUCGGGUUGUAAACCUCUUUCACUGCCGACGAAGCGCAAGUGACGGUAGGCAGAGAAGAAGCACCGGCCAACUACGUGCCAGCAGCCGCGGUAAUACGUAGGGUGCGAGCGUUGUCCGGAAUUACUGGGCGUAAAGAGCUCGUAGGUGGUUUGUCGCGUUGUUCGUGAAAACCGGGGGCUUAACCUCUGGCGCGCGGGCGAUACGGGCAGACUGGAGUACUGCAGGGGAGACUGGAAUUCCUGGUGUAGCGGUGGAAUGCGCAGAUAUCAGGAGGAACACCGGUGGCGAAGGCGGGUCUCUGGGCAGUAACUUCACGCCGUAAACGGUGGGUACUAGGUGUGGGUUUCCUUCCUUGGGAUCCGUGCCGUAGCUAACGCAUUAAGUACCCCGCCUGGGGAGUACGGCCGCAAGGCUAAAGCUCAAAGGAAUUGACGGGGGCCCGCACAAGCGGCGGAGCAUGUGGAUUAAUUCGAUGCAACGCGAAGAACCUUACCUGGGUUGACAUGCACAGGACGGCCGUAGAGAUACGGUUUCCCUUGUGGCCUGUGUGCAGGUGGUGCAUGGCUGUCGUCAGCUCGUGUCGUGAGAUGUUGGGUUAAGUCCCGCAACGAGCGCAACCCUUGUCUCAUGUUGCCAGCGGGUGAUGCCGGGGACUCGUGAGAGACUGCCGGGGUCAACUCGGAGGAAGGUGGGGAUGACGUCAAGUCAUCAUGCCCCUUAUGUCCAGGGCUUCACACAUGCUACAAUGGCCGGUACAAAGGGCUGCGAUGCCGUGAGGUGGAGCGAAUCCUUUCAAAGCCGGUCUCAGUUCGGAUCGGGGUCUGCAACUCGACCCCGUGAAGUCGGAGUCGCUAGUAAUCGCAGAUCAGCAAUGCUGCGGUGAAUACGUUCCCGGGCCUUGUACACACCGCCCGUCACGUCAUGAAAGUCGGUAACACCCGAAGCCGGUGGCCUAACCCCGUGUGGGAGGGAGCCGUCGAAGGUGGGAUCGGCGAUUGGGACGAAGUCGUAACAAGGUAGCCGUACCGGAAGGUGCGGCUGGAUCACCUCCUUUCU
This 1462-nucleotide ribosomal RNA is filed under the name uncultured bacterium. RNAcentral describes it as "bacterial SSU rRNA". It matches the Rfam family "Bacterial small subunit ribosomal RNA". The record is from RNAcentral.